GGCUCAGUGGUUAACAAAUCUGUCUAGUAUUCAUAGUUUGAUCCCUGGCCUCACUCAGUGGGUUAAGGAUCCGGCGUUGCCAUGAGCUGUGGUGUAGGUCACAGACAUGGCUCGGAUCCUUCCCGCUGGCCUAUACCACAGCCACAGCAAUGCCAGAUGUGAGCUGUGUCUGCAAGCUACACCUCAGCUCACAGCAAUGUGGAUCCUUAACCCAUAACGAGUCAGUAAACUUAAAGUUACAUCAACAGAAAUUAUUCAGUCUGUACUGUGGAGAGAAAACAGAUUUUUUUAUAAGCAAAUAAGGGCUUAAGAACCUGUAGGAUGACAGCACAGGUGUUCUGGAAGAUAGGAGAGUGCAGUAUGAAGAAAUAAUGCCUGAAAAUGUCACAAGUUCAGCAAAAAACCAUAAACCUACAGAUUCAAGAAGCGGAGUGAAUCCUGAAUAGGAUAAAGCUAAAGAAAUCCAUGAACAGACAAAUAAAGUAUUUAAAUUAAAUACUAAAUACAAACUGCUGAAAACUAAAUAUAUUUUAAGAAAAAAAUCUUGAAAGAAGCCAAAGAAAAAUAAUGCAAUACCUCCAUGUGAACAAUUCAAAUGAUGGCAGAUUUUUCAACAGAAACCAUAGAGUCCAGAGGGAAGUGGCCCAAUAUUUUUAUUUAUUUAAAAAAACUUUUUUUUUUUUUUCUUUUCCAGGCUGUACCCGCCACAUAUGGAAGUUCCCAGGCUAGGGGUCGAAUCAGAGCUGCAGCUGCCAGCCUACACCACAGCCACGCAACACCAGAUCGGAGCAGCAUCUGCAGCCUGCACCACAGCUCAUAGCAACACCGGAUCCUUGACCCACUGAGCAAGGUCAGAGAUCAAACCCACAUCCUCAUGGAUACUAGUCGGGUUCAUUUUCUCCAAGCCACAACGGGAACUCCCCGAUAUUUUUAAAGUGCUGAAAGAAAAGCACUGUCAGCCCAGAAUUCUAUAUUCACUGAAAAGAUCUUUCAGGAAUGAAAGUGAAACAAAGACACCCCCAGAUUAAGUAAAGCUAAGAAAAUUCAUGGCUCUACAGAACUGCUCUGUAAGAAUUGCUAAAGGAAAGGCUUCAGACAAAACGGAACUGAACAGAAGGAUGUUCGGAACAUCAGGAAUAAAGGAGGAAAAACAGAAAUGAUAAGUGUCUGGGUAAAUAUAGGCUAUUCUCCUCUUGAGGGCUCUAAAAUAUGUUUGACAGUUGAAAGGGAAAAAAGUAACAUUAUUGACGGAAUGUUCUCUCUUUCUUUUUGUUUUUGUUUUGUUUUGUUUUGUUUUGUUUUUUGUCUUUUUAGGGCCGCACCCGUGGCAUACGGAGGUUCCCAGGCUAGGGGUCCGAUCAGAGCUACAGCUGCCAGCCUACACCACAGUCAUAACAAUGCCAGAUCUGAGCCACAUCUGCUACCCACAACACAGCUCAUGGCAACGUCAGAUCCUUAACCCACUGAGUGGGCCAGGGAUGGAACCCUGAUCCUCAUGAAUGCUAGUCAGGUUCCUUAACCGCUGAGCCAUGUAGGGAACUCUUACAACUCAAUGUUUUGUUUUGUUUUUUAAAUCCCAAACAACCCAAUUAAAAAAUGGGCGGAAGGUCUGAAUAGACAUUUUUCCAAAGGAGACAUACAAAUGGCCAACAGGAACAUGAAAAGAUGCUCAACAUUGCUAAUCAUCAGAGAAAUGCAAAUCAAAACCACAAUGAAAUAUCACCUCACACUUGUCAGAAUGGCUAUCAUCAAAAAGACCAAAAAUAACAAAGUUUGAGGAGGAUGUGGAGAAAGGGGUAUCCUAGUUACAUUGUUGGUGGGAAUGUAAAUUGAUGCAGCUACUAUGGAAAACAAGAUGAGGAUUCCUCAGAGAACUAAAAAUAGAACUACUAUAUGAUUGAGCAAUUCCACUCCUAGAAAUGUAUCUGGAGAAAAUGAAAGCCCUAAUUUGAAAAGAUACAUGCACCCCAGCGUUUAUAGCAGCAUUAUCUACAAUAGCCAAGAUAUGGAAGCAACCUAAGUGUCCAUCAACAGAUGAAUGGAUAAAGAAGAGGUGGUAUGUAUAGAUAAUGGAAUAUUACAGCCAUCAAAAAAUGAAAUUUACAAGAAUUUAUAAGGAUAUAUUGUACAACACAGUAGAAAUAGCCAACAUUUUACAACAGGUUUAAAUGGAGUAUAGUCUAUCAAAAUCUUGAAUCACUAUGUUGUACACCUGAAACUAAUAUUGUAAAUCAAAUAUACUUCAAAUUAAACAAAUAAUAAAAUGAGUUUGUUGUAGACCACAUAUGUUUUUUUCCAUUCUGCCAAGCUCUAUUUUUGAUUGGACAGUUUAAUUCAUUUGCAGGUAGAGUCAUUACUGAUAUAGAGCAAUGUACUUUCGUCAUUUUCCCAUUUGCUUUCCAUGGAUCUUUAUGGCUUUUUAGUCUCUCAUUUCCAUAUUACAUUACAUUUUUUCGUGGGUAGUUGAAUUUUUGAUAAUGAAAACCUUAUAUUUCUUUCUCAUUUCUCUUUGUGUAUAUUCCAUAGCUAUGUUCUUUGUGGUUACAAUGGGAAUUACAUUUGACAUUCGAAAGUUCUUACACUCCAAUUUGAAUUUACAAGAGUUUAACUUCAACCACAUACAAAACCUCUCCUCUGUUACAGCUCUCUGUUCCUACCCCCUUUUGGCUGUCAAUGUCAUAAAAUCACAUCUUUAUACAUUGUUUAUACAUUAUACAUUGUUUAUACAUUGUUUAUACAUAGUUUAUACAUAAACUAAUAAUUCUUUCUUACAUUUUAGCACCACACCUGUGGGCAUAUAGAAGUUCCUGGGCUAGGGGUUGAAUCAAAGCUACAGCUGCCAGCCUACACUGCAGCCACUGCAAUGCCAGAUCCAAGCUGUAUCUGGGACCUAUGCCCCAGUUUGUGGAAUGCUGGAUCCUUAAUCCACUGGGUGAGGCCAGGGGCUGAAUCCCCAUCCUCCUGGAUAUUAGUCAGGUUCUUAACCCACCGAGCCACAACGGGAACUCCAAGCUAAUAAUUCUUUUAAAUGCUUUAGUCUCUUAAAUUAUGUAGGCAACGAAAUGUGGGGAGAGGCUUGCAACAAUGAAGGGAGGCCGCCUGCCUCUUUGUCUACACCUCUAUGACCAGAAGCAGCAAUCCGUGAUCAGGGCGCAGAUCCUCCAUAUUUGGAGGACAAGGUGUUUUUUGGUCCACCCUGGUCCUACAGGCUGAAUGCAAGCUGCUCCAAGAACAGAUGCACAGCUGCCUGCCACAGGGCUGAGGCUGGAGGAUGGGGAGCCGCUACUGUGCUGAGAGCUGAAAUUUACUAAAAUUAGCCACGAUGUACCAUCCAAACCUUCCCUUGGAAGUUGUCAGCCUUCAGUAGGCUCCAGAGUUCCAAAAUAGUUACAUCAGACAGAUCCUGCCAGUACAAUCGUUGUCCAGAUGGGGAGACAGACAGAUUCCUGGGGUUUCAUACUCCACCAUCUUCCAAGAAUCCUCCUGAUGUUUCUUUUGGGGGCAUGAAAAUGUUCUAAAAUUGAUUAGAGUGGUGAUUGUAGAUAUCCGUGAAUAUACUAAAAAUUAUUGACUCGUACACUUUAAACAUGUGAAUUAUAUGAUACAUGAAUUAUAUUACAAUAAAGCUGUUACCAAAAAACAAAAAGAGGGAGUUGCCAUUGUGGCUCAGUGGGUUAAGAACCCAACUAGUAUCCAUGAGGAUGCGGGUUCCAUCCCUGGCCUCGCUCAGGGGAUUAAGGAUCUGGCAUUGCCACAAACUGUGGUGUGGGUCACAGAUGCAGCUUGGGUCUGGAGUGGCUGUGGCUGUGGCUGUGGCUGGCAGCCACAGCUUCGAGUCAACCCCUAGCCUGGGAAUUUCCAUGUGUUGAAAGUGUGGCCCUGAAAAGAAAAAAAGAAAGUGUUGCUCUUUCCAUUAGGGAAGUAGUUCGAUGUAAUCAGCCCCUAUCAUCAAACUGGCUGAUCCUCUUGAGAAAGGCGGCAUGCCAGGGGUUCAGUGUUGGUAUCUGCUGCUGGCAGACUGGGCACUUACCAGUGGUAGGAUCCAGAUCAGCCUUGGUGGGUGGAAGUCCUUGCUAAUUCUAUGUACGCCCUCCAUCACUGCCACCUUGGCUACACUGAUAGUGAGCUUACUGGACAAAUCUAGGGUGUAUUGGAGAAGGUGGUUGACUGAUGUCCACACAGUGGGCUACCUGAUCUUCCUAAAAAUCUCAUUUUCUGAGAUCCCUCUUUGAUGAACAUUCACAUGGGGCACAAAUAUCCUCCCACUCUGUAGAGGUCUCUCCACACACACGUCUUCUCCAGACUCUGCAGCAGCCCCUGACCAUCUAGCUGGACCAUUCGUCACAACACAUGAAUUGAUGUAGAGGAUAUUUCCAGACAUCUCUCCUUCCGGUCAAAAUGGACAACCAAGUACAUUGCUCAAAUUUCUAUCUACCGAGAAACUUUCCCAUUGCCUCUAUCCCUCAGAGGUGUCCCAGUGGGGCUGUAAGUGAUUCAGUUGUCCACUUGGGGGUCCUGCCGGCAUGUCCCUCAGAACCAUAUGUAAACUAGGUCUGAGUUUUCUCUUCCUCAGUCAACUGGCCACAGGGCGACUCGCUCUGAGCCAUCUGUGUGGUUUGAGAGAGAGAAGACCAUGAAUCAGGAAUAAGGGAUCUGGAAUGGAUUAAGAAGAUGUGUUGAAGUUCCCGUGGUGGCGCAGCGGUUAAUGAAUCCGACUGGGAACCAUGAGGUUUCAGGUUCGAUCCCUGGCCUUGCUCAGUGGGUUAAGGAUCCAGCGUUGCGUGUGAGCUGUGUUGCAGGUCACAGACACGGCUCGGAUCUAGCAUUGCCAUAGCUCUGGCGUAGGCUGGCAGCAAUAGCUCCGAUUCAGCCCCUAGCCUGGGAACCUCCAUAUGUCAUGGGUGCAGCCCUAGAAAAGGCAAAAAGACCAAAAAAAAAAA
This 4940-nucleotide long non-coding RNA is filed under the name Sus scrofa (pig). Its description in RNAcentral is "lncRNA (ENSSSCG00065052008.1)". The record is from RNAcentral. Lineage: Eukaryota; Metazoa; Chordata; Mammalia; Artiodactyla; Suidae.